Molecule: RNA transcript, 3494 nt
Organism: Motacilla alba alba
Lineage: Eukaryota; Metazoa; Chordata; Aves; Passeriformes; Motacillidae
Gene name: 60S ribosomal protein L22-like
Exons: 7
Source: RefSeq, a predicted model, not a curated record
AGGCGGGAGCGCGCGCCGGCCCCUCAGCGCCCGGCCCGCGCGGGCAGCACGCCAGCGCCCGCCCCUCCACGCGCCCCCGCGAGCCAAGCGCGCUCCCGAGCCAGCUCCGCGCGGGUCUCCGCCCCUCGGCAGCGCGACCGGGGCGCGGCCAGCUUCGUUCCCACCCCGCUGCGUACAUAUAAAGCUGGCGCGCGCGCACCACGCCCUCUCUUUCCCCGCGGAGCGCCGGCAAUGGCGGCACACGGUAAGGCGGCGCGGGAUGCGGUGUCUGCCGCUGCCCCGGCGGGGCGGGGGGAUGGCUUCUUCCUUUUGUUUGGACGUUCGCGAGCAUCGCCCGCAGUGCCGGUCGCGUAGUGCAUGAGGCUGGAGCCGGCAGGUGAAGCCCUCACCCUUGGAGGCGCGAACAGAGCCAGGCGAAAGGCGACCGUAAUCCAGCUAUGGGGCCGCAGCCGCCGCGGAGGUGCAAGGGGACUUGGAGGGGACUACAUAUCUCAGUAUGCCCCGCGGGAGGCGUCCUGCCGGAAGCCGCGUACCGAGGCGCGGGGCAGGCUGGGAGCGGUAGGCGGCGGUGACCCGCGUGGCGCUGCCGGGCGCGCGCCAUUUUGAUCCCCGCCCGGGGCCGGUGAGGGAGCGCUGCCCUGCCGAGCCCCGAGCCGCGGCUGCGGCCGCCCCUGGCACCGUGCGGCGGCCUUCACACCCCUGGGCUCGUGCGUAAAAUGCUGGAUAAGGCAGAACCGCCUUGUUCAUGGGGCAGAGGGUUGGUGCACAUGCACAUGCUUGUGUUACCCGUGCAUCCUUUUGGAGGGUUCAGCCACCGGCAUCAUAGCACUGCUCCACAGCAGAAGACCUACAAAAGUACUGUGAAAUCCAUAUAGCGCCCCAAGGAAAAAAGACCCACAACAUUUAGGUGAUACCUGAUGUAAAUCGUAAGAUUGUGUUCUAACAAAUUAUGUUUCCUUUAUAAUUUUAAGACAAUGACAUAGCUUAGAAAAGAGAGAUUUGUUAUAAAAGUAAACCACCACCCCAAAGUACUGACAGAAGCCUAUUGUGUGCUUAAGAUGCCUUUUUGUCCCCUGUAUGAAAUGCUGAUGUCAUUAAGCCCAAAGCACUUCAAAAAGAACAAGAAAUACUAUAGAAUAUGUCUACAAUUCCGGGCUCUUACCUGCAAGCAAAGAUUAGGAUGGAGGUGGAUUUACAUAGGAAGGCGUCAGGUGUGAUGGAGAGGAGAUGUUCAUUGGUGCCGAGUACGUUGUACAUUAAGCACCUCAUGGAAGGACCAUCACAAGUAGAAGAAUACUUGGGACACACAAGUGGAUUUUCCUGAAAGCUGUAGUGGCAUGAACAGUUUCUAGUAAUGACAAUGUGGCAUGUCCUGAAAAAGGAUUUCCUCACAACAGGAAAUAAAACAGAGAUGCUUGAAUGCUGCGUGUGAUUAGAAGGAAAAAAGAAAACAAGUAGGAACAAGUGCUUUUGGCUUAUUCAGUGAUGAAUUGGAGCACUUUGUCAGAACUGCCUGACAAACGUGGAUGAUGUAACCAGAAGGAAGUGUACCUGAAGAGAAACUGUGACUUGGAGUGGGAUGCCAUGCUUUUAAAAGCCUGCUAAAACAGCUGCCAUUUUGUUCAGUGGAUACUGUCUCUGCAUAUUUAAAACACCAUCUUUCCAAAAUACUGAACUGUCUUCUGUAGGAAGUGUAGCAGUAAUAUCAGGGAAAGGAGCACAUGGAAAACCCCUUGAUUUUUUACCCUUUUAAAAUACCAUAUGGGUACACAGUCUUGCAGAUACUAGAGAUCUGUGAUAACUAAACAGUGGAGCUCACAGGCAGGCCUACCUGUAAGGACAGGGUGAAAGCAAAGAAAAAGACCGUGUCUACAGCUUGCAUCACUGUAUCUAGUGAGGGAGUGAGGAGUUGGGUUUAUGGACAGCCCUUUCAGCAGAAGACUAGUACCACAACAGUGGAACUGCCCUUUGAGGAAUACAUUGUCAACAGUACUUGCUUGCUCUCUAGGGCAAAGAGAUUGGUAGUGGAAAAAGAGAGUUACAAACAUUGGAACUUGGGCUUUUGUCUUUGUUUGAAAAGACAGGUGUCUGCUAAGGAAGGCAGGAGCUUCCCUUGAAAUGGAAAAUCUAAAACUCUUCCCUCUGAAUUGUUAUCAUUUUGGAAUUAAAGGGAAUCUCAGGCAAAGAUAUGGGAGUAGGAAAAAUAGUUCUUUAUUAGGAAAAACAAAAGUAAAAAUGAAAAUGCAGUAAUACAGAACAACAUUGACAGGAUCAGAAUACAACCUGACACCCUGUUGGUCAGGGUGGUGGUAGCUGCAGUCUGAUUAAAUGGCGGCUGCAGUCCUCGUGGAGUGAGAGGUGUGGUUCUGUUGAAGCAGUGAACCUGUGGAAGGCUGUAGUUUUCCUCUCAAGGUCCAGUGGUGAUGUAGAUUGGCCUGGUUUUCCUCUGGGAAUCCAGUGAAGAAGAAAGCUGCUCCUCUAGGAAUCCACUGGGAGGAGACUGACUGGUGUUCCAAAUCUCAGAUUGUACCCAGGUUGGAAUGCUUGCUUCCUUCCUCUGGGCGGAGUAUCUCACAAUGGGAUGAUGUAAUUUCAUCAGUGUGUAGUAAAACUCAAAGGCUCAUUAGCAGAAGAUGUCUUCCUGGACGGAGGGUUGGUAGUGAAAGAGAUAAAGAAAACUGCCCAAUUAACAAGAUAACUGCCCCACCACUAACAGAAUACACACCCCCAGCUAUGUCUUGCAACCCUAAGGCUUUGAAUGGUCACUUGAAAAGAGCUAGUGCUGUAAUGACAGCAGCAGCAAAUUUGUUGUGUUCAGCCAGCUGUCCCUUCCACAGAGGUAUGAAGGAUCAUAAAUUGGUCACCAAGUAAACUUAAAGACAACUCAUGGUGUAUACAUAAGGUAAAAUUUGCCUUAAAGCAUGACUUUCAAGCCUUAUUGUCAGGAAUUCUUUAUAACACCAAAAAACUGACAAUAGCAUAAUUAAAAAUUCAUAGACCUAUUACUGAAUCAUUUUGAAAUAGUCCAAAAUAUAUAAAGCAACCCUAUAGCUCACGGUGUGUACUUGUUCAUCAGUGACAAAUUCCAUGUGAAGUCCCAAUUUUCUAUCAAAGUAGUAUGAAGUAUUAACACUACCAGGAAUACCGUAUAAAGCAUUGGAAAUGUCAAAAAUAAGUAUCCAUCAGGCUGCUGAAGUGGAUGCUAAGUAUCUGACUAAACUCCCAAGAGUACAUUGGCUCGCUGAGCAUCUCCUAUGGUUUGCUAAUUAAUUAAUUAGUGGCCUGCUACGUUGGCUAAAGGCUGCUCCUUUUGAGCAGGGAAUGGUAUGUCAGUCUGUUAAAUAUCAAGAUCUGCAGAAAUAAACUAGAAAAUUAUUUUUUUCUUCACUGCUUUCAAUAAUAUUGUUUCUGUUAACAAAUAUUACUGAGAAUAGUGUGUUUUUUUUCAUGUGCCAUGUUCAGUACAUGCUUUUGAAUAAAGGAUGUUAAAGUCA